AGAGUUUGAUCAUGGCUCAGAACGAACGCUGGCGGCGUGCCUAACACAUGCAAGUCGAGCGAGAAAGUCCCUUCGGGGGCGAGUAGAGCGGCGGACGGGUGAGUAAUACAUGGAUAAUCUCCCUUUCGAGCUCGGGAUAACACUGCGAAAGCGGUGCUAAUACCGGAUAAGACCACGUGACGGAAGGUCAUGCGGGAAAAGGUGGCUUUGUUUUCGGAUGAGGCUAUCACUUGAGGAUGAGUCCAUGGCCUAUCAGCUUGUUGGCGAGGUAACGGCUCACCAAGGCGAUGACGGGUAGCUGGUCUGAGAGGACGACCAGCCACACCGGGACUGAGACACGGCCCAGACUCCUACGGGAGGCAGCAGUGGGGAAUAUUGGGCAAUGGGCGAAAGCCUGACCCAGCGACGCCGUGUGGGCGAUGAAGGCCUUCGGGUUGUAAAGCCCUGUUGGGUGGAACGAAGGGUCCAUCGACGAAUAAUCUUUGGAUUUUGACGGUACCACCAGAGGAAGCACCGGCUAACUCCGUGCCAGCAGCCGCGGUAAUACGGAGGGUGCAAGCGUUGUUCGGAAUUACUGGGCGUAAAGGGCGCGUAGGUGGUUGUGUAAGUCGGAUGUGAAAUCCCCAGGCUCAACUUGGGAACCGCAUCUGAUACUGCAUGACUAGAGUACUGCAGAGGGAAACGGAAUUCCUGGUGUAGAGGUGAAAUUCGUAGAUAUCAGGAGGAACACCGGUGGCGAAGGCGGUUUCCUGGGCAGAUACUGACACUGAGGCGCGAAAGCGUGGGUAGCAAACAGGAUUAGAUACCCUGGUAGUCCACGCUGUAAAC
RNAcentral lists this ribosomal RNA (828 nucleotides) under uncultured bacterium. RNAcentral describes it as "bacterial SSU rRNA". It matches the Rfam family "Bacterial small subunit ribosomal RNA", at positions 8 to 807 of the family's 1533-position model. The record is from RNAcentral.